GCUUACCAUGCAAGUCGAACGAUGAAGCCCUUCGGGGUGGAUUAGUGGCGAACGGGUGAGUAACACGUGGGCAAUCUGCCCUGCACUCUGGGACAAGCCCUGGAAACGGGGUCUAAUACCGGAUAUGACCGUCCAUCGCAUGGUGGAUGGUGUAAAGCUCCGGCGGUGCAGGAUGAGCCCGCGGCCUAUCAGCUAGUUGGUGAGGUAGUGGCUCACCAAGGCGACGACGGGUAGCCGGCCUGAGAGGGCGACCGGCCACACUGGGACUGAGACACGGCCCAGACUCCUACGGGAGGCAGCAGUGGGGAAUAUUGCACAAUGGGCGAAAGCCUGAUGCAGCGACGCCGCGUGAGGGAUGACGGCCUUCGGGUUGUAAACCUCUUUCAGCAGGGAAGAAGCGAAAGUGACGGUACCUGCAGAAGAAGCGCCGGCUAACUACGUGCCAGCAGCCGCGGUAAUACGUAGGGCGCAAGCGUUGUCCGGAAUUAUUGGGCGUAAAGAGCUCGUAGGCGGCUUGUCACGUCGGUUGUGAAAGCCCGGGGCUUAACCCCGGGUCUGCAGUCGAUACGGGCAGGCUAGAGUUCGGUAGGGGAGAUCGGAAUUCCUGGUGUAGCGGUGAAAUGCGCAGAUAUCAGGAGGAACACCGGUGGCGAAGGCGGAUCUCUGGGCCGAUACUGACGCUGAGGAGCGAAAGCGUGGGGAGCGAACAGGAUUAGAUACCCUGGUAGUCCACGCCGUAAACGGUGGGCACUAGGUGUGGGCAACAUUCCACGUUGUCCGUGCCGCAGCU
Molecule: ribosomal RNA, 790 nt
Filed under: Streptomyces sp. DB4
Lineage: Bacteria; Bacillati; Actinomycetota; Actinomycetes; Kitasatosporales; Streptomycetaceae
Description: bacterial SSU rRNA
Rfam family: Bacterial small subunit ribosomal RNA
Source: RNAcentral